GCUGGUUUGGGGGCUCGCCAUCCCAAAUCUGUUCCAGCCUGUCCUGAGGAAAAUGGAGUGUAAUUAAGGGUGAGCACCCUUAAUUCUUGAGCUGUCUUUCCAGAUACACCUCGCUGCUUGGAGAUUCAGUGAACCUAAGAAAAGGUGCAAAAACUAUUUAGGUCAACUUGGAGAGCAGGGGAAGGAAGAAAUAAGAAAUAAAGAGGUACCGAAAGCUGGAACAUACUUCGGAGAAACACCUAGGCCAGCCCUCUCACUGGAAACACAGCACAGCACAGAACAAAACAGACACAGCUCCUGUCCCCGGGCUGACAGCCAAGUAGGAGAGAUGAAUGUUCAACAAUCUUGCACAUAAGCACAGCCAUCUAAGGUGGGCACUAUUUUAGUAUUGAGGAAACUGAG
This 402-nucleotide long non-coding RNA is filed under the name Homo sapiens (human). Its description in RNAcentral is "HSALNT0368216". The record is from RNAcentral. Lineage: Eukaryota; Metazoa; Chordata; Mammalia; Primates; Hominidae.